RNA transcript from Juglans microcarpa x Juglans regia, 1988 nucleotides. It is a transcript of the gene named uroporphyrinogen-III synthase, chloroplastic-like, with no coding region annotated. The transcript is spliced from 13 exons. NCBI's taxonomy places the organism in Eukaryota, Viridiplantae, Streptophyta, Magnoliopsida, Fagales, Juglandaceae. The record is from RefSeq and is a predicted model, not a curated record.
GUGUGAUAAUUUGGCAACAGCUGGAGGUUUGGGGCUCUGCCUCUGCUCAACACGUUUGCGGUCCAUGGCUCUUCCUUCUCAACUCUCCUCUCUCUCCCCUCCGUCCACUUCUGCUCCUCCUACUCCUUCUCCACUGCAAAUUCACCGCCGAAGGCGAAUUGCUCUCAGAUUCCGAGCUUCUCAUACUUCUUCUUUGGGCUCUUCGUCGAAUCCAGCGGGGCCCAAAGUCGUGGUCACCAGAGAACGCGGCAAGAACGGCAAGCUCAUCAGAGCUCUGGCUAAACAUGGAAUUAACUGUCUGGAGCUUCCCCUCAUUCAGCAUACACAGGGGCCUGAUAUGGGUAGGCUUUCAUCCGUAUUAAGUGCAGAUACACCAUUUGAUUGGAUUGUCAUAACUUCCCCUGAGGCUGGGUCGGUCUUUCUGGAGGCAUGGAAGGCGGCUGGGACCCCAAAUGUUAAUGUAGGUGUUGUGGGAGCUGGUACGGCGAGUGUUUUUGACGACAUAUUGCAGUUCUCCAAUCGAUCACUCAAUGUUGCCUUUGCACCCUCAAAAGCGACAGGUAAGGUUCUGGCUUCUGAGCUUCCAAAGAAUGGGGUAAAAUGCAGAGUCUUAUAUCCUGCUUCUGCAAAGGCUAGCAAUGAGAUUGAGGAAGGCUUGUCUAAUCGUGGAUUUGAGGUCACAAGGCUAAAUACAUAUACAACGGUACAAGUCCAGCAUGUUGACCAAAUGCUUUUACAGGAGGCACUUUCUACUCCUGUUGUUGCAGUUGCUUCACCUUCUUCGGUUCGUGCCUGGGUCAAACUUAUUAACGAUUCAAAGUCAUGGAACAACUCAAUUGCCUGUAUUGGUGAGACAACUGCUUUGUCUGCAAAAAGAUUAGGCCUACAAAAUGUGUUCUACCCAGCGCAACCAGGCCUUGAAGGGUGGGUUGAUAGCAUCCUUGAAGCUUUGGGAUCACAUGAUCAGCUCUAGAAGGUCAUGUUACCAAGUUUUUACCAAGGGCUUGGCAAAUUGAUGAGGAGGUAACAAGUUCAGAUUGGCAGCUAAUGUGUAAACAAGGUGCGAAAGGAAGAUGAAGUUCUUAGAAGCAGCAUGGCAGAAAGGGUUCAUGGAAUUUCUUGACUGGUGGCGUUGGGAGGAUUUGAAAUUUGGAGUUUCUAAAAUUAGAUAUUUCUCAGUAAGAUGAACUAUUUAGGCCAGACAUGGAGUGCUGAUAAAUAUCCAGUUCUCCGACCUCUUGGUUUCCUCGACUUUGAUUGUGAUCGCACCUGCUGGCAAAAGAGUUCAAAGCAUGUGUCUAGAAAAACUCAUAUAUGCCCAAUAUACCUGUAUUAUCUGAAUUCAAGCAUUCCCGAUCUGCAAUCCACUGAAGCUUUGCAGAGAAGCCUUGGUGAGUCUUCUAGUAUAUGCAUCCGAGUCACAUUGGCAUAUGUCAUAAACCCAAGGAAACUUCACAAGAAACACAAUGCAAUGCCUUUGUUCGUAUUCUUUGCGAAUGACCGGCAUAGAUAGCUUUCUCUGUUUACAAGUAUUAAGAGCCCCGAGGCUUGUGUUUGUCGCUGGCUUUGCCAUAGUCGGAGAAACUGGUUGAAAAGAAAACUAUGAUCAUGGGUAGAGAAGAAUUUGCUUACCGUUGAUCCAGGCAUAAUCAUUUCGGAACUGUGUUUUCUCAUCACUCGACUCUUGAAAGUCCCAGAUAUUUCCAUGGCUCCAUGUCCAAGAGAAGAGCAUCCUGGCCUGCACAUAUUAAUCUUUCUCGUACUAUUUUAAGCCAGAAAAUGGCAGCAAUGAUGGUGGCAAUCGUGCCAUCCUCGGUGGGCUCUCUCUCUCUCUCUCUCUCUCUCUCUCUCAUUGCAAGUGGAUAUAACUUUUAAAAGGAGCAAUAUGUUGGGGCAAGUGAUAUUUGAACUUGUUAAUGAAGAAAGGAGACACCAAAGUCUGUUAGUAACAACGCAUUGAAAAGUAUAUGAGCAUGCCUUGUUUUGGA